Molecule: ribosomal RNA, 192 nt
Filed under: uncultured soil bacterium
Lineage: Bacteria
Description: partial 16S ribosomal RNA
Rfam family: Bacterial small subunit ribosomal RNA
Source: RNAcentral
ACUCCUACGGGAGGCAGCAGUGGGGAAUAUUGGUCAAUGGGCGGAAGCCUGAACCAGCCAUGUCGCGUGCAGGAAAACGGCCCUACGGGUUGUAAACUGCUUUUGUACCGGAAUAAACCUGAUUUCGUGUUAUCAGCUGAAUGUACGGUAAGAAUAAGGAUCGGCUAACUCCGUGCCAGCAGCCGCGGUAAU